Long non-coding RNA from Syngnathus typhle (broad-nosed pipefish), 1004 nucleotides. RefSeq lists it as uncharacterized. The transcript is spliced from 2 exons. The record is from RefSeq and is a predicted model, not a curated record. Lineage: Eukaryota; Metazoa; Chordata; Actinopteri; Syngnathiformes; Syngnathidae.
CCACCUGUCAGUGGAUCACCAGCUUCCUGACCAACAGGAGACAGCGUGUGAGGCUGGGGGGCAUCACAUCUGACACCCGGACCACCAAUACUGGAGCCCCUUAGGGGUGCGUCCUCUCCCCACUGCUCUUCUCUCUCUACACCAAUGAUUUCUCCUCAGGUGACUCUCCUGUGAAGCUCCUGAAGUAUGCAGACGACACCACUCUCAUCGGACUGAUCCAGGACGGUGAUGAGACUGCGUACAGACAGGAGGUGGAGCGGCUGGUCCACUGGUGCAGCCAAAACCAUCUGGAGCUGAACCCGCUUAAGACCGUGGAGAUGACAGUGGAUUUCAGACACCUUCAAGUUCCUGGGAACCACAAUCUCUCGGGACGUGAAAUGGACCGGCCACAUAGACUCUGUCCGGAAGAAGGCCCAGCAGAGGCUGUACUUCCUGAGACAGCUCAAGAAGUUCAACCUGCCGCGAGAGCUUCUGAAGACCUUCUACACUGCCAUCAUCCAGUCUGUCCUCUGCACCUCCAUCACUGUCUGGUUUGCAUCGGCCUCCAAACAAGACAAGCACAGACUACAACGGACAAUCAGAACUGCAGAAAAGAUCAUUGGAAUCAACCUCCCAUCUAUCCAAGACUUGUACCUGUCCAGGACCAGGAAACAUGCAAGGAACAUCUCUACAGACCCUUCUCACGAGGUUGCAGUCUGUUUGAACUACUCCACUCCGGACGGCGUUAUAGAGCUCGAUACGCCAAAACCAGCAGACAGAGACAGCUUCUUCCCCCAGGCUGUUGCUCUGAUGAACUCACACCACUCAUAGAGUCUCAGUCAGUACUGUGCAAUAACAUCCUGCUCUUCACACCUUUUUGAAUUUGUCUACACUGUUUUUGCCAUUAUUCACAUGUCCUGAGUGUUGUUAGUCACCUAAAUGUUGAACAGAGGGUGUGUUUUUACCGAAGUCAAAUUCCUUGUUUGGCACGCUCAAACAUGGCGAAUAAAAAACUCUUGAAUCUU